RNAcentral lists this ribosomal RNA (501 nucleotides) under uncultured bacterium. RNAcentral describes it as "partial 16S ribosomal RNA". It matches the Rfam family "Bacterial small subunit ribosomal RNA", at positions 30 to 523 of the family's 1533-position model. The record is from RNAcentral.
AUUGAACGCUGGCGGCAUGCCUUGCACAUGCAAGUCGAACGGCAGCACGGGUGCUUGCACCUGGUGGCGAGUGGCGAACGGGUGAGUAAUAUAUCGGAACGUACCUUAUUGUGGGGGAUAACGCAGCGAAAGCUGUGCUAAUACCGCAUAAUCCCUAAGGGGGAAAGCGGGGGACCGUAAGGCCUCGCGCAAUUAGAGCGGCCGAUACCUGAUUAGCUAGUUGGUGAGGUAAAGGCUCACCAAGGCAACGAUCAGUAGCUGGUCUGAGAGGACGAUCAGCCACACUGGGACUGAGACACGGCCCAGACUCCUACGGGAGGCAGCAGUGGGGAAUUUUGGACAAUGGGGGCAACCCUGAUCCAGCAAUGCCGCGUGAGUGAAGAAGGCCUUCGGGUUGUAAAGCUCUUUUGUCAGGGAAGAAACAGCAGCUCUAACACAGUUUGCGAAUGACGGUACCUGAAGAAUAAGCACCGGCUAACUACGUGCCAGCCGCCGCGGUAA